This 205-nucleotide ribosomal RNA is filed under the name uncultured bacterium. Its description in RNAcentral is "partial 16S ribosomal RNA". It matches the Rfam family "Bacterial small subunit ribosomal RNA", at positions 958 to 1164 of the family's 1533-position model. The record is from RNAcentral.
AACGCGAAGAACCUUACCCAGGCUUGAACUGCAGAUGACAUCCUACGAAAGUAGGCUUCCGCAAGGACGUCUGUAGAGGUGCUGCAUGGCUGUCGUCAGCUCGUGUCGUGAGAUGUUGGGUUAAGUCCCGCAACGAGCGCAACCCUUGUCUUCUGUUGCCAUCAGGUUAAGCUGGGCACUCUGAAGAGACUGCCGGUGACUAACC